This 89-nucleotide transfer RNA is filed under the name Blumeria hordei DH14. Its description in RNAcentral is "tRNA-Asn for anticodon GUU". The record is from RNAcentral. Lineage: Eukaryota; Fungi; Ascomycota; Leotiomycetes; Helotiales; Erysiphaceae.
UCCCUCGUGGCGCAAUUGGCUAGCGCGUUCGACUGUUAGACGCACACCUAGCUAUCGAGAGGUUGGUGGUUCGAGCCCACCCGAGGGAG